AUACGGAAGGUCCAAGCGUUAUCCGGAUUUAUUGGGUUUAAAGGGUGCGCAGGCGGCCAUUUAAGUCAGCGGUUAAAUCGUGGGGCUCAACCCCAUUCUGCCGUUGAUACUGGGUGGCUUGAUUGCGGUCGAGGUUGGCGGAAUUCGUUGUGUAGCGGUGAAAUGCAUAGAUAUGACGAAGAACACCGAUUGCGUAGGCAGCUGACCAGACCGCAAAUGACGCUCAUGCACGAAAGUGCGGGGAUCGAACAGGAUUAGAUACCCUGGUAGUCCGCACAGUAAACGAUGAAUACUUGUUUUCGGCGAUAUAAUGUCGGAGGCAAAGCGAAAGCGAUAAGUAUUCCACCUGGGAAGUACGCUCGCAAGAGUGAAACUCAAAUGAAUUGACGGGG
RNAcentral lists this ribosomal RNA (392 nucleotides) under uncultured bacterium. RNAcentral describes it as "partial 16S ribosomal RNA". It matches the Rfam family "Bacterial small subunit ribosomal RNA", at positions 523 to 918 of the family's 1533-position model. The record is from RNAcentral.